Molecule: transfer RNA, 73 nt
Filed under: Hygrobates longiporus
Lineage: Eukaryota; Metazoa; Arthropoda; Arachnida; Trombidiformes; Hygrobatidae
Description: tRNA-His
Source: RNAcentral
UUACUUUUAGUUUAAAAGAAUGUCAAAUUGUGAUUUUGAAGGUAUUAGGUAUACCUUUAGCUAAUUAAGUAUA